This 253-nucleotide ribosomal RNA is filed under the name uncultured bacterium. RNAcentral's name for it is "partial 16S ribosomal RNA". It matches the Rfam family "Bacterial small subunit ribosomal RNA", at positions 524 to 776 of the family's 1533-position model. The record is from RNAcentral.
UACGUAGGGUGCAAGCGUUAAUCGGAAUUACUGGGCGUAAAGCGUGCGCAGGCGGCUUUGCAAGACAGAUGUGAAAUCCCCGGGCUUAACCUGGGAACUGCAUUUGUGACUGCAUGGCUGGAGUGUGGCAGAGGGGGAUGGAAUUCCGCGUGUAGCAGUGAAAUGCGUAGAGAUGCGGAGGAACACCGAUGGCGAAGGCAGCCCCCUGGGCCAACACUGACGCUCAGGCACGAAAGCGUGGGGAGCAAACAGG